RNAcentral lists this ribosomal RNA (254 nucleotides) under uncultured bacterium. Its description in RNAcentral is "partial 16S ribosomal RNA". It matches the Rfam family "Bacterial small subunit ribosomal RNA", at positions 524 to 776 of the family's 1533-position model. The record is from RNAcentral.
AACGUAGGACACAAGCGUUAUCCGGAGUUACUGGGCGUAAAGGGCGUGUAGGCGGAGAUGUAAGUCUAUUCUGAAAGCUCCUGGCUAAACUGGGAGAGGCGAAUGGAGACUGCAUAUCUAGAGUGAGGAAGAGGAAAGUGGAAUUCCGCGUGUAGUGGUGAAAUGCGUAGAGAUGCGGAGGAACACCAGUGGCGAAAGCGACUUUCUGGUCCUUAACUGACGCUGAGGCGCGAAAAGCAUGGGGAGCGAACGGG